GAUGAACGCUGGCGGCGUGCCUAAUACAUGCAAGUCGAGCGAACAGACGAGGAGCUUGCUCCUCUGACGUUAGCGGCGGACGGGUGAGUAACACGUGGAUAACCUACCUAUAAGACUGGGAUAACUUCGGGAAACCGGAGCUAAUACCGGAUAAUAUAUUGAACCGCAUGGUUCAAUAGUGAAAGACGGUUUUGCUGUCACUUAUAGAUGGAUCCGCGCCGCAUUAGCUAGUUGGUAAGGUAACGGCUUACCAAGGCGACGAUGCGUAGCCGACCUGAGAGGGUGAUAGGCCACACUAGAACUGAGACACGGUCCAGACUCCUACGGGAGGCAGCAGUAGGGAAUCUUCCGCAAUGGGCGAAAGCCUGACGGAGCAACGCCGCGUGAGUGAUGAAGGUCUUCGGAUCGUAAAACUCUGUUAUUAGGGAAGAACAAAUGUGUAAGUAACUAUGCACGUCUUGACGGUACCUAAUCAGAAAGCCACGGCUAACUACGUG
This 497-nucleotide ribosomal RNA is filed under the name uncultured bacterium. Its description in RNAcentral is "partial 16S ribosomal RNA". It matches the Rfam family "Bacterial small subunit ribosomal RNA", at positions 28 to 507 of the family's 1533-position model. The record is from RNAcentral.